This 253-nucleotide ribosomal RNA is filed under the name uncultured bacterium. Its description in RNAcentral is "partial 16S ribosomal RNA". It matches the Rfam family "Bacterial small subunit ribosomal RNA", at positions 524 to 776 of the family's 1533-position model. The record is from RNAcentral.
UACGGAGGGUGCAAGCGUCAUCCGGAUUCACUGGGUUUAAAGGGUGCGUAGGUGGGCAGGUAAGUCAGUGGUGAAAUCCCCGAGCUUAACUUGGGAACUGCCGUUGAUACUAUCUGUCUUGAAUAUCGUGGAGGUUAGCGGAAUAUGUCAUGUAGCGGUGAAAUGCAUAGAGAUGACAUAGAACACCAAUUGCGAAGGCAGCUGGCUACACGGUAAUUGACACUGAGGCACGAAAGCGUGGGGAGCAAACAGG